GCCAGGCAUAGUGGUGCAUGCCUGUAGUCCUAACUACUCAGGAGGCUGAGGCAGAAGAAUUGCUUGAACCCAGGAGGCUGAGGUUGCAGUGAGCUGAGGUCACGCCACUGCAUUCCAGCCUGGGCGAUAGAGCAAGACUUUGUCUCAA
Molecule: non-coding RNA, 148 nt
Filed under: Chlorocebus sabaeus (green monkey)
Lineage: Eukaryota; Metazoa; Chordata; Mammalia; Primates; Cercopithecidae
Source: Rfam by way of RNAcentral